RNAcentral lists this ribosomal RNA (2599 nucleotides) under Shigella flexneri. RNAcentral describes it as "partial 23S ribosomal RNA". It matches the Rfam family "Bacterial large subunit ribosomal RNA", at positions 343 to 2925 of the family's 2925-position model. The record is from RNAcentral. Lineage: Bacteria; Pseudomonadati; Pseudomonadota; Gammaproteobacteria; Enterobacterales; Enterobacteriaceae.
UGGAAAGGCGCGCGAUACAGGGUGACAGCCCCGUACACAAAAAUGCACAUGCUGUGAGCUCGAUGAGUAGGGCGGGACACGUGGUAUCCUGUCUGAAUAUGGGGGGACCAUCCUCCAAGGCUAAAUACUCCUGACUGACCGAUAGUGAACCAGUACCGUGAGGGAAAGGCGAAAAGAACCCCGGCGAGGGGAGUGAAAAAGAACCUGAAACCGUGUACGUACAAGCAGUGGGAGCACGCUUAGGCGUGUGACUGCGUACCUUUUGUAUAAUGGGUCAGCGACUUAUAUUCUGUAGCAAGGUUAACCGAAUAGGGGAGCCGAAGGGAAACCGAGUCUUAACUGGGCGUUAAGUUGCAGGGUAUAGACCCGAAACCCGGUGAUCUAGCCAUGGGCAGGUUGAAGGUUGGGUAACACUAACUGGAGGACCGAACCGACUAAUGUUGAAAAAUUAGCGGAUGACUUGUGGCUGGGGGUGAAAGGCCAAUCAAACCGGGAGAUAGCUGGUUCUCCCCGAAAGCUAUUUAGGUAGCGCCUCGUGAAUUCAUCUCCGGGGGUAGAGCACUGUUUCGGCAAGGGGGUCAUCCCGACUUACCAACCCGAUGCAAACUGCGAAUACCGGAGAAUGUUAUCACGGGAGACACACGGCGGGUGCUAACGUCCGUCGUGAAGAGGGAAACAACCCAGACCGCCAGCUAAGGUCCCAAAGUCAUGGUUAAGUGGGAAACGAUGUGGGAAGGCCCAGACAGCCAGGAUGUUGGCUUAGAAGCAGCCAUCAUUUAAAGAAAGCGUAAUAGCUCACUGGUCGAGUCGGCCUGCGCGGAAGAUGUAACGGGGCUAAACCAUGCACCGAAGCUGCGGCAGCGACGCUUAUGCGUUGUUGGGUAGGGGAGCGUUCUGUAAGCCUGUGAAGGUGUACUGUGAGGUAUGCUGGAGGUAUCAGAAGUGCGAAUGCUGACAUAAGUAACGAUAAAGCGGGUGAAAAGCCCGCUCGCCGGAAGACCAAGGGUUCCUGUCCAACGUUAAUCGGGGCAGGGUGAGUCGACCCCUAAGGCGAGGCCGAAAGGCGUAGUCGAUGGGAAACAGGUUAAUAUUCCUGUACUUGGUGUUACUGCGAAGGGGGGACGGAGAAGGCUAUGUUGGCCGGGCGACGGUUGUCCCGGUUUAAGCGUGUAGGCUGGUUUUCCAGGCAAAUCCGGAAAAUCAAGGCCGAGGCGUGAUGACGAGGCACUACGGUGCUGAAGCAACAAAUGCCCUGCUUCCAGGAAAAGCCUCUAAGCAUCAGGUAACAUCAAAUCGUACCCCAAACCGACACAGGUGGUCAGGUAGAGAAUACCAAGGCGCUUGAGAGAACUCGGGUGAAGGAACUAGGCAAAAUGGUGCCGUAACUUCGGGAGAAGGCACGCUGAUACGUAGGUGAAGCGACUUGCUCGUGGAGCUGAAAUCAGUCGAAGAUACCAGCUGGCUGCAACUGUUUAUUAAAAACACAGCACUGUGCAAACACGAAAGUGGACGUAUACGGUGUGACGCCUGCCCGGUGCCGGAAGGUUAAUUGAUGGGGUUAGCGCAAGCGAAGCUCUUGAUCGAAGCCCCGGUAAACGGCGGCCGUAACUAUAACGGUCCUAAGGUAGCGAAAUUCCUUGUCGGGUAAGUUCCGACCUGCACGAAUGGCGUAAUGAUGGCCAGGCUGUCUCCACCCGAGACUCAGUGAAAUUGAACUCGCUGUGAAGAUGCAGUGUACCCGCGGCAAGACGGAAAGACCCCGUGAACCUUUACUAUAGCUUGACACUGAACAUUGAGCCUUGAUGUGUAGGAUAGGUGGGAGGCUUUGAAGUGUGGACGCCAGUCUGCAUGGAGCCGACCUUGAAAUACCACCCUUUAAUGUUUGAUGUUCUAACGUGGACCCGUGAUCCGGGUUGCGGACAGUGUCUGGUGGGUAGUUUGACUGGGGCGGUCUCCUCCUAAAGAGUAACGGAGGAGCACGAAGGUUGGCUAAUCCUGGUCGGACAUCAGGAGGUUAGUGCAAUGGCAUAAGCCAGCUUGACUGCGAGCGUGACGGCGCGAGCAGGUGCGAAAGCAGGUCAUAGUGAUCCGGUGGUUCUGAAUGGAAGGGCCAUCGCUCAACGGAUAAAAGGUACUCCGGGGAUAACAGGCUGAUACCGCCCAAGAGUUCAUAUCGACGGCGGUGUUUGGCACCUCGAUGUCGGCUCAUCACAUCCUGGGGCUGAAGUAGGUCCCAAGGGUAUGGCUGUUCGCCAUUUAAAGUGGUACGCGAGCUGGGUUUAGAACGUCGUGAGACAGUUCGGUCCCUAUCUGCCGUGGGCGCUGGAGAACUGAGGGGGGCUGCUCCUAGUACGAGAGGACCGGAGUGGACGCAUCACUGGUGUUCGGGUUGUCAUGCCAAUGGCACUGCCCGGUAGCUAAAUGCGGAAGAGAUAAGUGCUGAAAGCAUCUAAGCACGAAACUUGCCCCGAGAUGAGUUCUCCCUGACCCUUUAAGGGUCCUGAAGGAACGUUGAAGACGACGACGUUGAUAGGCCGGGUGUGUAAGCGCAGCGAUGCGUUGAGCUAACCGGUACUAAUGAACCGUGAGGCUUAACCUU